This 655-nucleotide long non-coding RNA is filed under the name Setaria viridis. RNAcentral describes it as "long non-coding RNA (SVIR_LNC003402)". Lineage: Eukaryota; Viridiplantae; Streptophyta; Magnoliopsida; Poales; Poaceae. The record is from RNAcentral.
GGGAUAGAGGAGGAAGGUGAACCAAAGGACUCUGGAGAUUUUGAUAAUGGCUGAAUGGGGGGAGGAAACGAGUAGACAAUCAUAGAAGGAAGGGCACAGUCUUCAAAAAAUCUGUAGGCUAACAGGUUUGGGGGAGGAUCCUCAACCAUUAACAAAAAGAAACCUGUGGGAAAACGGAGAAACCAGACAAAAGUAGCACACAUCUCAAAGCACAAAUCUAAUACACCAGAAUUUGACAGAUAUUUAGCAAAAGUCAAUUUAAAAAACUAAAAGGGGGUGGCUGAGAUCGAGGCAUCAUGGUUCAUGGUGGCGAUGAUAGCUCUAGCUCGAACAUAGAAGGGCAGAGGGUAGGGAUGGAAUCGGAUCAGGUUCGCACGAAUUCGGAUUCAGAUAGCACUUUUUACCAUGCUUUUAUUCGAAUGGAAAUUUGGAUUCGGAUGUUGUCGAAUGCGAAUUAGGAUUAUCUCGAAUUCAAAUCUAUAUUCGAAUAUCCAUUAAUUUGGGUGCUAGCAAUUAGAAAAUAUAAAUUUAUCUUAUUGAUAAUUUUGGAAGAACAAAAUUAUCAUUAGACAUACGAUUAUAUUUAUGGGUAAGACAUAACACAUGUAGAAAAAAAUUGUUCAUUACAAAUAUUUUUUUAAAUACUAUACUCCCU